AUUGUACGCUGGCGGCAGGCUUAACACAUGCAAGUCGAGCGGGGGAAGGUAGCUUGCUACCGGACCUAGCGGCGGACGGGUGAGUAAUGCUUAGGAAUCUGCCUAUUAGUGGGGGACAACAUCUCGAAAGGGAUGCUAAUACCGCAUACGUCCUACGGGAGAAAGCAGGGGAUCUUCGGACCGUGCGCUAAUAGAUGAGCCUAAGUCGGAUUAGCUAGGUGGUGGGGUAAAGGCCUACCAAGGCGACGAUCUGUAGCGGGUCUGAGAGGAUGAUCGACCACACUGGGACGGAGACACGGCCCAGACUCCUACGGGAGGCAGCAGUGGGGAGUAUUGGGCAAUGGGGGGAACCCUGAUCCAGCCAUGCCGCGUGUGUGAAGAAGGCCUUAUGGUUGUAAAGCACUUUAAGCGAGGAGGAGGCUACUUUAGUUAAUACCUAGAGAUAGUGGACGUUACUCGCAGAAUAAGCACCGGCUAACUCUGUGCCAGCCGCCGCAGUAA
This 501-nucleotide ribosomal RNA is filed under the name uncultured bacterium. RNAcentral's name for it is "partial 16S ribosomal RNA". It matches the Rfam family "Bacterial small subunit ribosomal RNA", at positions 30 to 523 of the family's 1533-position model. The record is from RNAcentral.